This 659-nucleotide long non-coding RNA is filed under the name Ananas comosus (pineapple). RNAcentral's name for it is "long non-coding RNA (ACOM_LNC010648)". The record is from RNAcentral. Lineage: Eukaryota; Viridiplantae; Streptophyta; Magnoliopsida; Poales; Bromeliaceae.
UGAUACUUGUGAGUCUUAGUUUGACGAGGAUGUCAGGGCUUAAAGGGGGGAGGAAUGUAAGAACCCAGAUAGUCCUAUAUAUAAGAUAUAAUAGGGCUAGAACUUUUAACCCGACUUAAGCAAUUUGGGUGGUAGUUAGGCUCAAGAGGUUAAAAGAGUUAAGCGUGUUAUGACGGGAGUAAUCUUAGAAUGGGCAACCCCCGAGAAGUUGGGGCAUCACAAAUCUAAUUGGAUUAGGAUUUGGGUAGCUUUUGAUUUAAGCAAUAAAUAUAGCAUAAGUCUUAUUAUGUUGGUGGUGGUGGCAUGGAUUAACCACACUCAUAUAGUAUGGCUAAGGUUGUCAUGAUUUUGAAUGCACCUAGUGCAUAGGUGUAAGAGGACGUGUAUGGUUUUUUAGCCGUGGGUUAUUGGUAUAUCUUGUGUCUGGAUGUACAAGAUGAUAGAGAGGUCUUCUUAGUUUAUAGAAGAUGAGAGAAUGGUAGGAAAGAUUCAAAAAGAGGGCUUGGGUUAUAGCUACUCUGUGAAGAAGAUGAGUCAGGUGUAAUCUUCUCUUAUUUAAUAAAUUUAUUUCACCCGUAUAUUUUCUGUUUGGUUAUUUUCUCUCUUUAUGAUUGUAUUAACUUUUGUUGAGGAGACGGGUUUAUAGUAAAAAUCCAAUU